RNAcentral lists this ribosomal RNA (341 nucleotides) under uncultured cyanobacterium. RNAcentral describes it as "bacterial SSU rRNA". It matches the Rfam family "Bacterial small subunit ribosomal RNA", at positions 109 to 486 of the family's 1533-position model. The record is from RNAcentral. Lineage: Bacteria; Bacillati; Cyanobacteriota.
AGUACGCGUGAGGAUCUGCCUCAGGAGGGGGACAACGACUGGAAACGGUCGCUAAUACCCCAUAUGCCGAGAGGUGAAAUGUUUUUUCGCCUGAGGAUGAGCUCGCGUCAGAUUAGCUAGUUGGUGGGGUAACGGCCUACCAAGGCGACGAUCUGUAGCUGGUCUGAGAGGAUGAUCAGCCACACUGGGACUGAGACACGGGCCAGACUCCUACGGGAGGCAGCAGUGGGGACAUUUUCCGCAAUGGGCGAAAGCCUGACGGAGCAAGACCGCGUGAGGGAUGACGGCCUAAUGGUUGUAAACCUCUUUUCUCUGGAAAGAUAAUGACGGUACCAGAGGAA